GCCAGGUAUUGUGGUGGGCACUUGUAGUCACAGCUACUCGGGAGGCUGAGACAAGAGAAUUGCCUAAGCCCAGAAGUUGGAGGUUGCUGUGAGCUGAUGCCACAGCACUCUACUGAGGGUGAUAAAGUGAGACUCUGUCUCAAAAAAAAAAGAGAGAGAGAGAGAGAGUCUCACUUUGUCACCCUCAGUAGAGUGCUCUGGCAUCAUAGCUCACAGUAACCUCAAACUUUUGGGCUUAUGCAAUUCUCUUGCCU
This 254-nucleotide small RNA is filed under the name Otolemur garnettii (small-eared galago). RNAcentral's name for it is "Metazoan signal recognition particle RNA (ENSOGAG00000026826.1)". Lineage: Eukaryota; Metazoa; Chordata; Mammalia; Primates; Galagidae. The record is from RNAcentral.